This 672-nucleotide ribosomal RNA is filed under the name uncultured soil bacterium. RNAcentral describes it as "bacterial SSU rRNA". It matches the Rfam family "Bacterial small subunit ribosomal RNA", at positions 35 to 749 of the family's 1533-position model. The record is from RNAcentral.
GCUGGCGGCAGGCUUAACACAUGCAAGUCGAACGCUCCUAGCAAUAGGGGAGUGGCAGACGGGUGAGUAACGCGUGGGAACAUACCCUUUGGUUCGGAAUAACUCGGCGAAAGCCGUGCUAAUACCGGAUAAGCCCCUCACGGGGGAAAGAUUUAUCGCCGAAGGAUUGGCCCGCGUCCGAUUAGCUAGUUGGUGAGGUAAUGGCUCACCAAGGCGACGAUCGGUAGCUGGUCUGAGAGGAUGAUCAGCCACACUGGGACUGAGACACGGCCCAGACUCCUACGGGAGGCAGCAGUGGGGAAUAUUGGACAAUGGGCGCAAGCCUGAUCCAGCCAUGCCGCGUGAGUGAUGAAGGCCUUAGGGUUGUAAAGCUCUUUCGACGGGGACGAUAAUGACGGUACCCGUAGAAGAAGCCCCGGCUAACUUCGUGCCAGCAGCCGCGGUAAUACGAAGGGGGCUAGCGUUGCUCGGAAUCACUGGGCGUAAAGCGCACGUAGGCGGAUCUUUAAGUCAGAGGUGAAAUCCCAAGGCUCAACCUUGGAACUGCCUUUGAUACUGGGGAUCUCGAGUCCGGAAGAGGUGAGUGGAACUGCGAGUGUAGAGGUGAAAUUCGUAGAUAUUCGCAAGAACACCAGUGGCGAAGGCGGCUCACUGGUCCGGUACUGACGCUGA